AGGGCGCACGGUGGAUGCCUUGACACUAGGAGUCGAUGAAGGACGGGACUAACGCCGAUAUGCUUCGGGGAGCUGUAAGUAAGCUUUGAUCCGAAGAUUUCCGAAUGGGGAAACCCACCAUACGUAAUGGUAUGGUAUCCUUAUCUGAAUACAUAGGGUAAGGAAGACAGACCCAGGGAACUGAAACAUCUAAGUACCUGGAGGAAGAGAAAGCAAAUGCGAUUUCCUGAGUAGCGGCGAGCGAAACGGAACAUAGCCCAAACCAAGAGGCUUGCCUCUUGGGGUUGUAGGACAUUCUAUACGGAGUUACAAAGGAACGAGGUAGACGAAGCGACCUGGAAAGGUCCGUCGUAGAGGGUAACAACCCCGUAGUCGAAACUUCGUUCUCUCUUGAAUGUAUCCUGAGUACGGCGGAACACGUGAAAUUCCGUCGGAAUCUGGGAGGACCAUCUCCCAAGGCUAAAUACUCCCUAGUGAUCGAUAGUGAACCAGUACCGUGAGGGAAAGGUGAAAAGCACCCCGGAAGGGGAGUGAAAGAGAUCCUGAAACCGUGUGCCUACAAAUAGUCAGAGCCCGUUAAUGGUGAUGUGCCUUUUGUAGAAUGAACCGGCGAGUUACGAUCCCGUGCGAGGUUAAGCUGAAGAGGCGGAGCCGCAGCGAAAGCGAGUCUGAAUAGGGCGUUUAGUACGUGGUCGUAGACCCGAAACCAGGUGAUCUACCCAUGUCCAGGGUGAAGUUCAGGUAACACUGAAUGGAGGCCCGCACGCACGUUGAAAAGUGCGGGGAUGAGGUGUGGGUAGCGGAGAAAUUCCAAUCGAACCUGGAGAUAGCUGGUUCUCCCCGAAAUAGCUUUAGGGCUAGCCUUAAGUGUAAGAGUCUUGGAGGUAGAGCACUGAUUGGACUAGGGGUCCUCAUCGGAUUACCGAAUUCAGUCAAACUCCGAAUGCCAAUGACUUAUCCUUAGGAGUCAGACUGCGAGUGAUAAGAUCCGUAGUCAAAAGGGAAACAGCCCAGACCGCCAGCUAAGGUCCCAAAGUGUGUAUUAAGUGGAAAAGGAUGUGGAGUUGCUUAGACAACUAGGAUGUUGGCUUAGAAGCAGCCACCAUUUAAAGAGUGCGUAAUAGCUCACUAGUCGAGUGACUCUGCGCCGAAAAUGUACCGGGGCUAAAUACACCACCGAAGCUGCGGAUUGAUACCAAUGGUAUCAGUGGUAGGGGAGCGUUCUAAGGACAGUGAAGUCAGACCGGAAGGACUGGUGGAGUGCUUAGAAGUGAGAAUGCCGGUAUGAGUAGCGAAAGACGGGUGAGAAUCCCGUCCACCGAAUGCCUAAGGUUUCCUGAGGAAGGCUCGUCCGCUCAGGGUUAGUCAGGACCUAAGCCGAGGCCGACAGGCGUAGGCGAUGGACAACAGGUUGAUAUUCCUGUACCACCUCUUUAUCGUUUGAGCAAUGGAGGGACGCAGAAGGAUAGAAGAAGCGUGCGAUUGGUUGUGCACGUCCAAGCAGUUAGGCUGAUAAGUAGGCAAAUCCGCUUAUCGUGAAGGCUGAGCUGUGAUGGGGAAGCUCCUUAUGGAGCGAAGUCUUUGAUUCCCCGCUGCCAAGAAAAGCUUCUAGCGAGAUAAAGGUGCCUGUACCGCAAACCGACACAGGUAGGCGAGGAGAGAAUCCUAAGGUGUGCGAGAGAACUCUGGUUAAGGAACUCGGCAAAAUGACCCCGUAACUUCGGGAGAAGGGUGCUUUCUUAACGGAAAGCCGCAGUGAAUAGGCCCAAGCGACUGUUUAGCAAAACACAGCUCUCUGCGAAGCCGUAAGGCGAAGUAUAGGGGGUACACCUGCCCGGUGCUGGAAGGUUAAGGAGAGGGGUUAGCGUAAGCGAAGCUCUGAACUGAAGCCCCAGUAAACGGCGGCCGUAACUAUAACGGUCCUAAGGUAGCGAAAUUCCUUGUCGGGUAAGUUCCGACCCGCACGAAAGGUGUAACGAUUUGGGCACUGUCUCAACCAGAGACUCGGUGAAAUUAUAGUACCUGUGAAGAUGCAGGUUACCCGCGACAGGACGGAAAGACCCCGUGGAGCUUUACUGUAGCCUGAUAUUGAAUUUUGGUACAGUUUGUACAGGAUAGGCGGGAGCCUUUGAAACCGGAGCGCUAGCUUCGGUGGAGGCGCUGGUGGGAUACCGCCCUGACUGUAUUGAAAUUCUAACCUACGGGUCUUAUCGACCCGGGAGACAGUGUCAGGUGGGCAGUUUGACUGGGGCGGUCGCCUCCUAAAUGUAACGGAGGCGCCCAAAGGUUCCCUCAGAAUGGUUGGAAAUCAUUCGUAGAGUGCAAAGGCAUAAGGGAGCUUGACUGCGAGACCUACAAGUCGAGCAGGGACGAAAGUCGGGCUUAGUGAUCCGGUGGUUCCGCAUGGAAGGGCCAUCGCUCAACGGAUAAAAGCUACCCCGGGGAUAACAGGCUUAUCUCCCCAAGAGUCCACAUCGACGGGGAGGUUUGGCACCUCGAUGUCGGCUCAUCGCAUCCUGGGGCUGUAGUCGGUCCCAAGGGUUGGGCUGUUCGCCCAUUAAAGCGGUACGCGAGCUGGGUUCAGAACGUCGUGAGACAGUUCGGUCCCUAUCCGUCGUGGGCGUAGGAAAUUUGAGAGGAGCUGUCCUUAGUACGAGAGGACCGGGAUGGACGCACCGCUGGUGUACCAGUUGUUCUGCCAAGGGCAUAGCUGGGUAGCUAUGUGCGGAAGGGAUAAGUGCUGAAAGCAUCUAAGCAUGAAGCCCCCCUCAAGAUGAGAUUUCCCAUAGCGUAAGCUAGU
This 2800-nucleotide ribosomal RNA is filed under the name Bacillus anthracis (anthrax bacterium). RNAcentral's name for it is "bacterial LSU rRNA". It matches the Rfam family "Bacterial large subunit ribosomal RNA". Lineage: Bacteria; Bacillati; Bacillota; Bacilli; Caryophanales; Bacillaceae. The record is from RNAcentral.